This 71-nucleotide transfer RNA is filed under the name Limosilactobacillus reuteri. RNAcentral's name for it is "tRNA-Cys". It matches the Rfam family "tRNA". Rfam says of the family: Transfer RNA (tRNA) molecules are approximately 80 nucleotides in length. Their secondary structure includes four short double-helical elements and three loops (D, anti-codon, and T loops). The record is from RNAcentral. Lineage: Bacteria; Bacillati; Bacillota; Bacilli; Lactobacillales; Lactobacillaceae.
GGUGGUAUAGCCAAGUGGUAAGGCAGAGGUCUGCAAAGCCUUUAUCAUCGGUUCAAAUCCGAUUACCACCU